Molecule: ribosomal RNA, 253 nt
Filed under: uncultured bacterium
Lineage: Bacteria
Description: partial 16S ribosomal RNA
Rfam family: Bacterial small subunit ribosomal RNA
Source: RNAcentral
UACAGAGGGGGCAAGCGUUGUGCGGAAUUACUGGGCGUAAAGGGCGCGUAGGCGGCCUUCUAAGUCGGACGUGAAAUCCCCAGGCUCAACCUGGGAACUGCGUCUGAUACUGGAUGGCUUGAAUCCGGGAGAGGGAUGCAGAAUUCCAGGUGUAGCGGUGAAAUGCGUAGAUAUCUGGAGGAAUACCGGUGGCGAAGGCGGCAUCCUGGACCGGCAUUGACGCUGAGGAGCGAAAGCCAGGGGAGCAAACGGG